This 93-nucleotide microRNA precursor is filed under the name Linum usitatissimum (flax). RNAcentral's name for it is "miR395b stem-loop (lus-MIR395b)". Its record names the gene lus-MIR395b. The stretch from base 6 to 88 matches the Rfam family "mir-395 microRNA precursor family". Rfam says of the family: mir-395 was identified in both Arabidopsis thaliana and Oryza sativa computationally and was later experimentally verified. mir-395 is thought to target mRNAs coding for ATP sulphurylases. Lineage: Eukaryota; Viridiplantae; Streptophyta; Magnoliopsida; Malpighiales; Linaceae. The record is from miRBase by way of RNAcentral.
ACCAGGUCUCCCCUGGAGUUCCCCUGAACGCUUCACUGAGAGGCUCUGUCAUUCUUACUGAAGUGUUUGGGGGAACUCUGGCUGUGGCUUGGU